AAUCUAGAAUGAAACCUUUCAUGUUCAACAUAUUCUCUUCUAAGUAUCUUUGGCAACAAGAGAUGCAGAAUUACUGAGGAGUUCUGCUCUGAAUGCUUCAACUUCCCGGUCAUCAGCCUGUGAAAGAAGGCUGCAAGUGCUGGUGCAAUGGAAAUAAGUGUGAGGGGAACAUUUCUUCUGAAGGUAGAGGCCCAAGUCCAGAAGGGACAGUGAGCUCAGGUGGGCUUAUGGUAACUCAGAAACUGCACCCUCCAUCACAGACAUGCUAGCUAAGUUGCUCAUCUGUGAUGUCUUGGCAACUCAAUUGCAUUAUUUCUUCACAUCUGCCUCUUACCUGUCAGUUGUCUGCUGGGUUGGUCUUUUCUUUCGCUGCCUCUCUACCUUUGUAGUCUAUGUUACUGAAUGCUCCAGGCAAGAUUCUUCUUAGGCCUCGUGA
Molecule: long non-coding RNA, 436 nt
Filed under: Manacus vitellinus (golden-collared manakin)
Lineage: Eukaryota; Metazoa; Chordata; Aves; Passeriformes; Pipridae
Description: lncRNA (ENSMVIG00005017170.1)
Source: RNAcentral